Molecule: ribosomal RNA, 450 nt
Filed under: uncultured bacterium
Lineage: Bacteria
Description: partial 16S ribosomal RNA
Rfam family: Bacterial small subunit ribosomal RNA
Source: RNAcentral
GUGGGGAAUUUUGGACAAUGGGCGCAAGCCUGAUCCAGCAAUGCCGCGUGCAGGAAGAAGGCCUUCGGGUUGUAAACUGCUUUUGUACGGAACGAAACGGUCCGGGUUAAUACCCUGGGCUAAUGACGGUACCGUAAGAAUAAGCACCGGCUAACUACGUGCGAGCAGCCGCGGUAAUACGUAGGGUGCAAGCGUUAAUCGGAAUUACUGGGCGUAAAGCGUGCGCAGGCGGUUUUGUAAGACAGGCGUGAAAUCCCCGGGCUCAACCUGGGAAUUGCGCUUGUGACUGCAAGGCUGGAGUGCGGCAGAGGGGGAUGGAAUUCCGCGUGUAGCAGUGAAAUGCGUAGAUAUGCGGAGGAACACCGAUGGCGAAGGCAAUCCCCUGGGCCUGCACUGACGCUCAUGCACGAAAGCGUGGGGAGCAAAAAGGAUUAGAUACCCGGGUAGUCC